RNAcentral lists this ribosomal RNA (496 nucleotides) under uncultured bacterium. Its description in RNAcentral is "partial 16S ribosomal RNA". It matches the Rfam family "Bacterial small subunit ribosomal RNA", at positions 28 to 506 of the family's 1533-position model. The record is from RNAcentral.
GAUGAACGCUGGCGGCGUGCCUAAUACAUGCAAGUCGAGCGAACAGACGAGGAGCUUGCUCCUCUGACGUUAGCGGCGGACGGGUGAGUAACACGUGGAUAACCUACCUAUAAGACUGGGAUAACUUCGGGAAACCGGAGCUAAUACCGGAUAAUAUAUUGAACCGCAUGGUUCAAUAGUGAAAGACGGUUUUGCUGUCACUUAUAGAUGGAUCCGCGCCGCAUUAGCUAGUUGGUAAGGUAACGGCUUACCAAGGCAACGAUGCGUAGCCGACCUGAGAGGGUGAUCGGCCACACUGGAACUGAGACACGGUCCAGACUCCUACGGGAGGCAGCAGUAGGGAAUCUUCCGCAAUGGGCGAAAGCCUGACGGAGCAACGCCGCGUGAGUGAUGAAGGUCUUCGGAUCGUAAAACUCUGUUAUUAGGGAAGAACAAAUGUGUAAGUAACUAUGCACGUCUUGACGGUACCUAAUCAGAAAGCCACGGCGAACUACGG